UACAGCCAUGUCACAUUGAAACACUGGUUCUCAUAUGAACAUCAAAAUUAAGCAACGUUGAGCUUGGUCAGUACCUAGAUGGGUGACCACUUGUGAAUACUAGGUGCUGUAAG
Non-coding RNA from Acanthosepion pharaonis, 113 nucleotides. The record is from the annotation of a GenBank genome assembly. NCBI's taxonomy places the organism in Eukaryota, Metazoa, Mollusca, Cephalopoda, Sepiida, Sepiidae.